Molecule: ribosomal RNA, 253 nt
Filed under: uncultured bacterium
Lineage: Bacteria
Description: partial 16S ribosomal RNA
Rfam family: Bacterial small subunit ribosomal RNA
Source: RNAcentral
UACAGAGGUCUCAAGCGUUGUUCGGAUUCAUUGGGCGUAAAGGGUGCGUAGGCGGCGCGGUAAGUCGGGUGUGAAAUCUCGGAGCUUAACUCCGAAACUGCAUUCGAUACUGCCGUGCUUGAGGACUGGAGAGGAGACUGGAAUUUACGGUGUAGCGGUGAAAUGCGCAGAUAUCAGGAAGAACACCCGUGGCGAAAGCGGCUCUCUGGAACGGUACUGACGCUGAGACGCGAAAGCGUGGGGAGCGAACAGG